Long non-coding RNA from Nelumbo nucifera (sacred lotus), 863 nucleotides. RefSeq lists it as uncharacterized. The record is from RefSeq and is a predicted model, not a curated record. NCBI's taxonomy places the organism in Eukaryota, Viridiplantae, Streptophyta, Magnoliopsida, Proteales, Nelumbonaceae.
UUGAUGAUAUAAAUUCUCUUUCGGUUGAAAAGGAUCUCUCCAGCAGUUUUGGAGUGCGAAGAGUAAUGGAGUAGCCUUCUGUGCUUGGUGUGGAGGUUUGCAAAGCAAGCAAGUGGGUCAAAGUUUGUUUGGAGCUUCACUGUGUAGCAGAGACACCAAAAGAUGACCGAAGAACACGAAGAAGUAGAAGAGAUACAGCACGGCCCUUUUUCGAUCGAACAGCUUCAGGUUCAUUUGGAAGGGUUUCUGCAGGUGCUUGGCAGCAAAGAAAUAAUAAAUACAAAAAGGAAUCUUUUGUUCCAUGUUGAUUCAAUGUGGUCCAUCAAUGAAACCGUUAGUGGAAUAUUUACAUGGUACUAUCUUCUAUAUUGUUUUUGCAAGGACUCCUUUGAAAGCUCUUCACUCUGGCCACAAUUGCCAUUCUGUUUACUGCAUCCGAAAAUCACAUAGAAUUUGUCUUGUUACGUCUUAUUUGGAUAUUUGGCAAGUUCCAAUUCCUAUAAUCACGAAAUUAGCAGCUGUGAGAGUUGAUUAAAGAAAGAACAGAUUUAUGGUCUGGACUUCAACAAUAUGUAUAUCGAACAUCCACUUUGCAUGGAAAACCAUAUUGGUGUACGAUGGAAGGAAUUUACUCAACACAGUGGUAUUCUUAAUCCAUCUAGAAAUUGACUGUGAUCUGUAAUUCAUGAGGAAUAGGAAAUUCUUACUUCUAAACAAUGUGGGGGUGUGUUUUUAUUGAGCACAUCAGCAGAUGGGAUUGCUUGAGUUUAUUCAAGUCUUGCUGCAUUACCCCUUUUUAUAUUAUUGACUAUUUCUGUAGUACCAUGUAUCUUAAAAUAACAGUGAUUAAAGGAUUUAAAAUA